Long non-coding RNA from Lemur catta (Ring-tailed lemur), 2584 nucleotides. RefSeq lists it as uncharacterized. The transcript has 2 exons. NCBI's taxonomy places the organism in Eukaryota, Metazoa, Chordata, Mammalia, Primates, Lemuridae. The record is from RefSeq and is a predicted model, not a curated record.
CAUUCCACAUAUUCUAAUUUAGUACCUGUUAUGUGCCUGGCAGCAUGCCUAGCACUGUGGAUGCUUUGAUGAAUGAAUUAAAAUAGCCAGAUCCCUGUUUGUGUGGAGCUGGCAUGGUAGUAGAAAACAUAAUCAGCUAAUCACACAAGUGUACAAUUUCCAACCUUGAUAGGCGCUCUGAAGAAAAGGUACCGAGUGCUGGAGGGCAUACAACAAGGGGACCUGCACUUAUAUGACUCUGGCAGGCUUCCCUGGGAAAGGAUGCUCCAAACCAAGUUGUGAAGAAAGGGACAGAGUUAACUGGAUACAGCAAAUUGAGGGAAAGCAUUCGGGGCAGAGGGGACAGCCCGUGCAAAGGACUAGACUCGGGAGGAAGGCGAGUGAGACCAGAGAGACAGGCAGUUCUGGCUGUGCAGCGCCUCGGAGACCAGGAUGCUGCCCAGCACCUACAUCCUGAGAGCAAGGGAAGCAGGGAUGUGACCUGCCCUGGUACGUUGCUGUGAUGUGAGACUCUGGCUGUUCUGUGGAGCAAUCACUAGAGGAAUAUGAGUAGACUUAGGAAGGCCAGUUAGGAAGCUUUUGUUGUCAUGGUGGACAGAUAUGGACACCAUCCUCAUAUCUGGCUAGUCUUGGUGCUUGAUGGAGUGAAGAUGUGUUCAGGAUGCCCCCUGAGCUUCUGGCUUGCCUUACUGCUGAGAUGGCAGUGCCAUUUUCAGGAGCUGGGGAGCCCUGGAAAGGGGCCGGGUCUAUAAGACAGACCCCAAGUCUAAUGGCAGACAGCUGAGACACCCAGGUGGAGAUGGGGAGGAAGUGGCUGAAUGCACAGCUCCAGAGCACAGCCAGAGACAUCACAGAGACUGGUUCAGGGAUGAUCCUGAGUGGAAAUGUGCAUUGGGAUGUUGACAGGUUUCUGGGGCAUUUUGAGGCCAGGAGGAUGGCUGAGGAAGAAGAGUCCAGAAAUUGAGCCCAGAGACCAUCAACAUUUGGGACUGGAAAAGAGGAGAAGGAUCCUCUGAGAGUGCUGAAAAGAAGUGGAAGAGCUGGGAGGUCUCUUGGCAGAAAGAUGGGGUCUCUCAGCAGCGGGGUGGGGGGUGCAGAGAGGUCAGGACAACAAGGGCGACCGGUGAGCCCCACCCUCGUGCAACUGCGCAAUCUCCAUGGUGCUCUGGAAUUGGGCAGCAUAUCAGCUCUGCUGAUUGGCACCCCACAGGGCCAUCAGGGGACCCCUGAGGGUCUUUGCCAGAGCAGUUUGGGUAGGGGUUGAUUAAGAGGAGAAAGGAAGAAGGAGCAAGAUCUACAGCUUUUUAAUUUUAAUCUUAAAGGAGAGCAGUGCUGGCAUAUGAGCAUUAUGCAAGUAAGAGUAAUUGAGCGAUUAGAGAUGGAGACAAUUAGUGAAAUGAGCUCCCAUUGGGGCUGGGAUCAACUGUGGAGGUGGACAAAUUAGUUUGGGGCAAUAAUGUGUAUUUGACUGAAUGGGGCAAAAUUAAAUUAUUUACCUUUUAGAGAGUAACCUGAUCUCCAUGUUCUUUUGGGAGCUUUUAUCUGACCUGCGUACUGACUACAGCUCUAAUUAGCAGCAGUUUUAUCCUGUCUCUUGGCUGAGAUCGUGUCUUAUUAUUCUUGUGUGUUUCUCAGCGCCUAGCAACAGGCAGUAAGCUCUUUGGGUGCCGAAUCAGUAUUUUCUGCCUUGGAAUCAAACACCAAGUCAACAUUCAAACUUCUUUGGACCAAAAAGAAUCUAUGACAAUUCUCCAGAAGUUAACAAUACAAGAAAGAAACAUUGGGACAUUAAGUCUUGGGUGGCAGGGGUUUUGGUGAGUGGGUCAAGAAAAAGUGGAGGAGUCUACUCCCCUCAUCCUUGUAAGCUCUGUGCCAUUUAUCCAUGUUCACAUUCAUCAUCUCACAUGAACUUCACAUUUCCCCACAAGAAACAGAGUGUUGCCUCAUUUCAUAGAGGAGGAGGUGGAAGCCAGAAAAGGAGAUGUGUUAUUGACCCAGAGCACAAGUAGCAGGAGCUGACUUCAGACCUCAGGCCAUCCAGCAUGGCGGGCCCCCUUCCUGGGACCAGGUUGAGCUGGAGAGAAAGAAGAAGAGGAGUCUCUGAGGUCCGGUGGAGAUGCUCCGCAGGCCCUCGCAGAAGGUGGGAGACGUGGCGGUGUACACACUGGAGGUGCUGCUCCUGAGCUCGGGGCACCCUACGGGACUCUCCUCCUGUCACCUGCGGCAGCUUGCUCCAGCACGCCUUUCUGCUGGCCGCUGGCAACUGGAACUGACUGUGCUACAUUUUAUUUAGUUGUUGUUUAUUGACUGUUAAAAUGCUUUCAGUGUUGUUCCAUGAAGACAAACCUGUAAGCGCAUCCUUGUAUAUGCCCCUCUUGCUCAUGUACAAAUGUUUCUCCGGGACAGACACUUAGAGAUGGAAUCGUUGGGUCAUGGGGUAAACGUAUCUUAAAUUCUAAUAGAAACUGCUAAAAUGUUCUUCCAAGUGCCUUUCUUAUUUAAUGUCCUGCCAGCAGUGUGUGUACCCAUUUCCCCAGACCAUCUCCAAGUUUUACAUUUUAAAUAAUAUGAUGGGUCAAAAAUA